Molecule: ribosomal RNA, 368 nt
Filed under: Exaiptasia diaphana
Lineage: Eukaryota; Metazoa; Cnidaria; Anthozoa; Actiniaria; Aiptasiidae
Description: partial 16S ribosomal RNA
Rfam family: Bacterial large subunit ribosomal RNA
Source: RNAcentral
UUGGCCGGUAUGAAUGGCAUCACGAGGGCCCCCCUGUCUUAAGAGGACUCUCCAUGAAAUUGAAUUCGUAGUGAAGAUGCUACGUCCAUAUUGUAAGACGAAAAGUCCCCAUUGAGCUUUACUAAAGACUUAUAUGGCUCGAAUAACUUAAAUAAAAAGUUUAGAUAAUGUGGGAUCUGUUUUUGGUUAAUGAGACACCACUCUUUUAUUUUAAGAGAACUAACCUUAUAGGGAGAAUGUAAGUUAGAUAGUUUGGUUGGGGCGACCACCUUUUAAAAGGUAACGAAGGUGAGCUUAAGGUCCGUAGUUAAUAGCUAGAGGCCUGACUGCAAGGGGGACAUCCCGAGCAGACACAUCCUUAAGGAUGU